This is an RNA transcript of Hippoglossus stenolepis (Pacific halibut), 8131 nucleotides long. It is a transcript of the gene named arf-GAP with coiled-coil, ANK repeat and PH domain-containing protein 2, with no coding region annotated. The transcript is spliced from 26 exons. Lineage: Eukaryota; Metazoa; Chordata; Actinopteri; Pleuronectiformes; Pleuronectidae. The record is from RefSeq and is a predicted model, not a curated record.
UCCGGUGUAGACGAUCUGUGUGUGUGUGUGUGUGUAGUACGUACACUGGCUGCUCGGCUCUGACCGGAGCAGCUACCGGGCGACUCUCUCGUGUCUUCACCGCGGACCGCUGCGUCUCUCACGGUCGAGUCCGGUUCGUCCUCGGGGAAUCUCACUCCUCCAGCGUCCCGUUGUUUGUGGUCGCGACACCGGCAGCUGCUAAGCUCAGAGGCUCGCAGGCUAACGGAGCGGCGGCAGAGAGGAGCCAGCAGGUCGGACCGAGGCGCAGGGGACGUUAGCAAACAAGCUAAUUAGCCAGAAGGACCGAGCCUGGAUUAUUGUCCUUAAUCAAAGAGGAACCGAGCGAGUCCGCGGAGAAACUCACUGCGGCAGCAACAUGAAGAUCACGGUGGAAUUCGAGGAGUGUUUGAAGGACUCCCCGCGGUUCAGAGCCACCAUAGAGGAAGUAGAGGGGGAUGUGUGUGAGUUGGAAUCCAAGCUGGACAAAUUGGUGAAGUUGUGUAUUGGGAUGAUCGAUGCUGGAAAAGCCUACAACGCAGCCAACAAGCAGUUUGUUAAUGGGAUCCGAGAAUUAGCCCAGUCGUCCACCAGAGAUGAGGUUAUCGAGUCCAGUCUCACAAAGUUUGCCGAGAGCCUGCAGGAGAUGAUCAACUAUCACACGAUAUUAUUUGAUCAAGCCCAGAGAUCAAUCAAGACCCAGCUUCAAACUUUUGUCAAAGAUGACCUGCGUAAGUUUAAAGAAGCCAAGAAGCAGUUUGAUAAAGUUAGCGAGGAAAAGGAGGCAGCGCUGAUAAAGAAUGCCCAGGCGCCCCGCAACAAGCAGCAUGAGGUGGAGGAGGCUACCAACAUCCUCACUGCCACACGCAAGUGCUUCCGACACAUCGUGCUCGACUACGUCUUACAGAUCAAUGUGCUGCAAUCCAAGAGAAGAUCAGAAAUCCUGAAAUCAAUGCUGUCCUUCAUGUACGCCCACUUGACCUUCUUUCACCAAGGAUAUGACCUCUUCAGUGAACUACAACCUCUUAUGAAACACCUUGGAGGACAGUUGGACCAGCUGGUGGUGGAUGCUGCCAAAGAGAAGAGAGACAUGGAGCAGAAACACUCCACCAUCCAGCAAAAGGCUGCUCUGCAGGAGGUGACAGAGCUCGAGUCUUUACCAGACUACCGCAACUUUUGUGCUUGGACCUCCGAUUUCUCGAACGAUGACACCAAGCUGGAAUACAAUGUGGACGCAGACAACGGCAUCGCCAUGGAGGGUUAUCUUUUUAAGAGGGCCAGCAACGCCUUCAAGACAUGGAAUAGGCGUUGGUUCUCCAUCCAAAACAAUCAGCUAGUUUACCAGAAGAAAUUUAAGGACAACCCAACUGUCGUGGUAGAGGACCUCCGGCUAUGUACUGUCAAACACUGUGAAGACAUAGAGCGUCGCUUCUGUUUCGAAGUGGUGUCACCCACCAAGAGCUGUAUGAUGCAGGCAGACUCAGAGAAGCUGCGACAGGCCUGGAUCAAAGCUGUCCAGAACAGCAUCGCCACCGCCUUCCGCGACAAGGGAGAGGAAGGCGAGAAGCUGGACAGGAAAUCAUCCACAUCGACAGGGAGUCUUGACUCUGGUGGGGAGCCAAAGGAGCGGCCGCUGAAAGGAGAGAGUGCCCUGCAGAAGGUCCUGGCCAUCCCGGGCAACACCUGCUGCUGUGACUGUGGCCAGCCAGACCCUCGCUGGGCCAGCAUCAAUCUGGGCAUCACCCUCUGCAUACAGUGCUCUGGUAUUCACAGGAGUCUUGGAGUUCAUUUCUCUAAAGUCCGGUCUCUUACUUUGGACUCGUGGGAACCUGAACUUCUUAAGUUGAUGUGUGAAUUGGGAAACGGAGUGAUUAACCAGAUCUAUGAAGCUCGGCGAGAGGAGCUAGGAGCCAGAAAACCACAGCCAGGAGACCCGAGACACGAGGUUGAGGCCUACAUCAAAGCCAAAUACGUGGACCGUCGGUUUGUGCGCCGCCCGUCGGACGAGGAGCUUCGCAACAAAGUGGUCUCUCUGAGCAAACAGGAGAAGAGGCUGAGCAGCAGCUCCGAGCACCUGCCCCCCCGGCCACCUCCACCUACCCCCAAACUCCGACCUGCUUCAAACACCUCUGGACAAACAGCUGCUGCCAGCGGCUCGGAGGCCCGCCGCGACUCUCUCUUCUGUCCUGACGAGCUUGACUCGCUCUUCUCCUACUUUGACAACUCCGCCAAGCUCAGGAGCAUAAAAAGUGCAGACAGCGGCAUCCAAAACAGUGCAGAUGGAAGCAGGGAAAUGCUGGCCAACACCCCGUCCAAUAACAGCCUGACAGAUGCAGAUGCUGCUGAGUCUCCGCCCAUGGCCAUGCCUGCCAAGCUGCCUCCUCCGUCACCCUGUAAAGAGAUGGUGUUCUAUGAACCCAAGGAGUACAGCCAAGGUCUGCAGCUGUACUGGGCUUCAUGUGCCCGCAGUCUGCCGGACAUGGCGGAAGCACUGGCCCACGGAGCCGAAGUAAACUGGGUCAAUACUGAAGAAGACAAGAGGACGCCGCUUAUCAUGGCGGUGCAGGGGGGGUCACUGGUCACCUGUGAGUUUUUGCUUCAAAAUGCAGCGAGUGUUAACCAGCAGGACGCUCAGGGCCGGGCUCCCCUGCACCACGCCACCAUGCUGGGACACACAGGACAAGUGUGUUUGUUCCUAAAAAGAGGAGCGAAUCAAAAUGCUGCAGACAUUGACGAGAAAACACCACUGACCAUAGCGGUGGAUGCGGCCAACGCAGACAUUGUUACACUGCUGCGACUGGCGAAGAUGAACGAGGAGAUGCGAGAGGCGGAGGGGCCCUACAGCCAGUCAGGUCAAUAUAACACCAACAGCCCCACCGAAAUGCAGUACAGGAAGUGCAUGCAGGAGUUUAUUAGCCUGCAGCUGGACGAAACUUAAUAACUGUCCGCUCUCUUCCAAACAAAGGAGCAGAACACACUGUAAAAGCAGAGGACAUGUGAAGUCUGGGUUUCAGAGUUGGAGUCAGUUCACUUAAAACAGCAGAUUAACAAGAAGAAGAUGGUUUAGAUACUCAGACAAUUCAUUCUCAGUGGAGGCAGCGUUUUUAUUAGGAGACCUCCAGGUUUGUUGAAAUUUGACCCCCUGACUGUGAUGAUGGAUCAAAGUGAACUGAAUCUAACUCAGUGUGUCUCAGUCGCUGCAGCCUCUGUUUUAACUUCCCAGCUCUCGCCGGGUGCUGGACAAACUGCACCUUGGUGGGGUUCAGUGUCGGUCCUCGACUGUGUUUAUGUGACAGAGUUAAAGCCAUCGACUCUGGACAUGACUGUAGAGUUUUGUUCCAAAGUGGAACAUCCUCCUUUUCAGUUAAGUGACCGUUACUGUCACGUAGAAUUAUUUGAUAGCACAAAAUUAAAGCAAACAGCGUCACUUUUUUUCUAGACAGUUUGUACUUUUCUCCCUUUAAGUCUAAAGCUGCUUUCAGACAUGCACUGGAUUUUAUUCCUGAUAUUGUCCAGAGGGGCCGUAGAGAAAAUGUCUGAGUCAGUUGCUCAGGAAUUUUUCUGGAACUUUUCCUGCCUGGCACUAGGGGGCGAAAAUUUGCUUUAAAUGUUUGAGUAUAUCCAUAUCAGGAUGAAAAAGAGGUGUCAUACGUGUAGAAGACGCAGAAGAAGAUGUCAACUUGGAAAGACAAUGAGAUUCGAGAGCUUUUGGUGAUCAGGGCAGAUGUCGUCAUCAUAUCUUGCCUCCUGCUCUACACAGCCUGAAUCUUCCAGAGGUUGUUGUGAAUGCGUCUGGCCUGCGCUGCUGUGUUCAUGUCUGAAAACAGCUUGAAUGACACUAGUUUUGUUGAUUUCCUCUGUUUUAGAGGUGUUCAGUAAUUUAUAGUAAAUAAUAAGACAUUUGUUUUUAGGGCUAAAAUACUUUUUAUCUUUUAAUUGGUGUUGUGUCUCUGCCACCAGUCACAGCAUCUUUACAAAAAAACUGAAUCUAGCUUCCCAGUAACUACCAUCAGUAACCAGUGACACUCAGACCUCAAAGUGAAGGCAGGUUUUACUAUCUUGCAAUAAUUGUGACUUGUGAAUGACAAUUUUUAUCAUGUGACCAGUGUCAUAAAACGUAAUGUGUGUCUAUAAACCGGCAAGUUUCCUUUUUAACAUUUGAAGUGAUUUAUGCACAUUCCUAUCAAUAGUUGUAACUGCUGUACCUUUACCCAUGACUGUUUGUAAGGUCCCUGUUUGAAGUCUUAACCAUAUUCAAUGCCUGAUUACUUUGUCGUCCAAACAUGAUGCAUCUUGCUGUUGUGACACAGAAAAAGUCUAUUUUACAACAUUUUCUUUCAUAAAGAUAAAUAUAGGGGUUGUAUAUAUAUAUAUAUAUAUAUAAGUAUACAUUCUGUACAUGUUGUAAAUGAUGUGCAUACAUACAUUUGUAUCGCGGGACAAAAUAAGCAGAGUUGAGAGUGACUCACACAGGUUGCAUAGGGGUGAGUGCCAUGGGGGACACCUGCAUUCAUCCUUGAUUUCUCUUGUUUUGAUUGUGAUGUAUUUACCUCCUGUUAGGACGAUGUUGUGUAUUGGUUAUUAGUUGGGAAAUCCAGAAUUGUAAGACAAGAGGCCUUUUGUUGCCAUCGCAUUGAUCGUCUCGAAUGUUAGCGGAUUACAGACAAAUCAUCUGAGGAUGGUCCAGAGUGAAGCAACAAGUGCAAUAGUGUAGAAAGGUAUCCACAUGUAUCCCUGUAUAGUAUUGUCUUAUAUUUAUCUUACUCUUAGGUGAGCUUUACAAAAAAAGGAGAUAUUCACAAAGAAUGUGGCGAGAGAUGAGUUUGAAGCUCACUGAUAAUGUAUGAAAAAAAACAAUAUUCCGAACGUACCCCAGUUUCAUCUCACCUCUCCGCUCCAUGCAGCCACUGAUCCCUGAAGGGCAUCGAAGCACUUUGAUUAAAUGCUCAUUUCUGUUGUUUCACAUUGACAGAGCAGCGCCCCCUGCUGCUGAUAGAGCAAUAUUUCACGUCUUGAAUUCACUACUUAGAAUAGAGAUUACCGAUUGUGUUGUUGUUACUUUUACGGGCAAAGUUUUCUGUGAACUUUAGAGACGGAGCGGUUUAUACAACGUUUUUAGAUUGUUGGGGUAAUGGAAUAUUGUACAUGUGUGUGUGUGUUGACGACAUGAGAACAGGGACGUGCUCAGAACCGUCGUCUAUUUGUCCAAAAAUGAUAAAGCAUCUUAGAUUGAGGGCUCGUUGUGCUGCUGUAGGUAACCGGACUUUGAUUUAAGAGGGGAAGCUCCUCUUUUUAAAAAGAAGACAGGAAUGUUUUGGACCUACGACAAGAAACGCUUCUUUUGACUUAGUAUUUUAUUUUAGCAUGUGCAAUGGUUGUUGAUAGGGAACGACACAGAAAGUAUUGCUGGCUGUUGUUGCCUUAAAGGUCAACAGCAAACACAGGAGCAGUGAUGAUGAGGGGAACAGAGGGACGGUUGUCAGAAGAGGUCGAGUCUGAAGUAUGUGCUUCCAGUCAAUGAAGGAUCCUCCCGUCGCUUCGAGAGGAUUCAGCUUGUGCCAGCAUCAGCUCGCCGUCCUCUCCGAUACGCGCGGGCCACUUCACCAGGGCCUCCAAUCAGCUGAUGAGUGAUGGGGCUGAUGAGGGAUAUUCAGGGUUGAUGAAAGUGAAGGAACCUCAUCAAUCCUCCCUCUGCCCUUGUUUUUAUUUAAAGUACACUUCCCUCCGCUCAAGUGUUUCUACCUAGUUGAGUGUAGACGUGGUUCUCAGCCUGAACGUGGCUCAGUGCUUUAAACAAUAAUCUAUGAAAUCUUGUUGGGGAAUAUAUACAUAUAUAUUUUUGAAAUAGAAUUAUAAUUCUUCUUUGAUAGAUAUAUUUUUCUUUAAUUGAUAUUUGUCUCCUGUUGUCGUCUAAAAAUGGAUUUUAAAACGACCUAUGAGGGGGAAUCCAAACACAUGAACCCUCCAACAGGUUGAGAACUGCUCCACUCCUCUUUACCGCUCUCAUUCUCCUCUCUCUGUAAAUUCACUCUCUCUGUUCUGUAUUUAUCUUUUUGCUUUUCUCCCUCUCCUCCCCAGAGUUUGUGCCUUUGUUCUGUUCUUCUCUUUUCUUUGGGGUGCUGAGGCCAACACAACUGUAUUUUUUGUACAUUAACUCCUGCACUUUAAACACAAUACAGUUGCUGACAAAAACUCAUCUCCGUGGGCUUGUCUUUUCUUUCUGAGUCGAUCUCCAGUUGCAAAUCAAAAAGACUGUUUUCACAACCAUUUGCCUUUUUGCUUCCUUCGUUCUUUCCUUCUUUUCUCUGCCUCUAUGUUGAUCUGUUUCAUAUUUCGAGCCACGCCCCAAACUCUGACAGGUGACGAAACCUACCAGGACAUUUUCCAGGACUUCACCCAAAUGGCCUCCAACGACCCGGACAAGCUGAAGCGCUACCAGCAGUACGACCCGCAGUGACCCUGACGCUGCAGAACCUCCGUCCAGUAGCACUUCGAGGGACACUGUCACCGGCCUGGGAGAGAUGCAGCAUCUAAACCCCCGCCUCCACCUGGAAGGUCCCCUGCUCAUUAUUCCUCCCAUCAUUCAGAAACAUCUGCCUAAAAGCCGGUUAGUGCCACCACAGCUGGACACGUCAGCACGUCUCACAACUUCCCUGUUUUUAAACUGCUUCUCAGUAGAGGACCUAUUACAACAAGUAAUGGUACAGUGUUAAGGCCUUUGAAAGAAUUCGUACUAAUUAAAGACAUUUUUUUUAACUCGGUCUGAAUGUAGAGCGCCGACGAGGCUCAGUUUAAUCCCUUGUCACACUUCCUGUCACACUUCCUGACAAAAGACAACUUCUUUUUUUUAUACCUUUAAAAAAAGAAGUGUACAAAGAUGUACAGAUCAGAUGUACAAAGAGGUGAGAUCCUGACAGAUUGUUAAAUAGGAUUCUCCUUAUGAGUAUAGGCAUCUUUUUUUAUAUCAAACUUUCCUUUUAUGAACUCUCAGCUGCGUAUCCACGGCAACACGCUUCCACCUAUUUGCACAAAUCCCUUUGUCUUAAAACGCCACCGAUGUUUACCAGUUUGACAUGUUGUAAAAUGUACAGUGAUUAUAGAAGUAAACAUGUUAUUGAUUUAUUUUAAUGUUAAAUAGAAUUCUUUUUUUUUUAUGCUUUUUAUUUUUCAACAUUUCUUUCUGAAUGAUUUCAAUUUCUGUCUCGUCGUCAGAAGCUGUUUUAUGUUUAUCUGUAGAUUUUAAUGCAGACAUUUUAUUCCCAUUGAUUUUAGAAAGGCUGGUAAAACUUUAUUUUUUACAGUUUCAUAAUUUUAUAAUAAUUAUAGGAGAUGUAUGAUUUUUGUUGUAAGAACAAUUUCAUCUAAACUCAAAUAAAUGUAAGUAAGUGAAGUAGUGAUUUGAAAUUUUAUAAUUUAAACAAAAAUUUCUACAAAAGUUUCUACAAAAGUUGUAGAGAAAAAAACUCUAAACUUGAAGAAACUUUGAGUUUUUCCCUGAUAAAAUAAUCUGAAUAAAUUAAUCAUCAUUUCACACUGUCUAUUUAUUUAUGAAUACGAGCAAAUUCUUAUUAGGGAUUAUUAGGAAAUUAUGAACCUGUAAUCCACAAUAAAGAAACACCAAGAAAACUGUAUUUUAAAGCCACAUUGUGUGAUUUCAUGUGUUGAGCUGUUAAAACCAAAUUUACAUUUUAAGACUCAGUUCAGACGCCUCCUCCCAAAAUGUUUAAACUCAGAAAUGAAUUCUGUAAAUGUCAUAAUAGAUGCUCUGCUCUGUAAUUUAGGACUUUUAUUUUUUUCUUGGUCUGCCUCUUUUGAAACUGUACAAUCUUUAAACAUUGAUAGUUUAUAGCAGGAUGUGACGUCAGUUCCUGAGGAAAUCUUUGUCCAAUGAUGCAACAUGGGAUACAACUCUUGUACAUUUUGUACAGAUGCUUUUGAAUUCUGCAGAGAACUGAAGUAUAAAGUUAGAGGUACUUGAAUCAUUCAAAUAAGAUAUUGUAUAUGCUGUUCUUUGUAUCCUUCAGUCAUUUAGCCCAUUUUAUAUUGCCUGUCUGUAAACCAUUAUACAUGAACUGUGUAUUCUACCUGUAACAUGUAAGAACUUCAAUACAUAGACUGAGGAUUCACCAAUGAA